GGGCAGCGCUCCGCCGCGGGAGUGGCGGGCGGGCGGUGCACCUGCGAGCGGCGAGACGAGCAGGGCGGGCGACGAGGAGCCGACCGGAGGCGCGCAGCGAGCCGGCGGCCGCGCAGCCCGGCCCGGCGUGUCCAGGCGCCGCGGCCGCGAGGCGAUGGAGCAGGAGAAGUACCUGCCCGAGCUGAUGGCCGAGAAGGACAGCCUGGAUCCCUCCUUUGUUCACGCGAUGCGCCUCCUGGCAGACGAAAUUGAAAAAUUUCAGGGUUCUGAAGGCAAGAAGGAAGAUGAAGAAAAGAAAUAUCUCGAUGUUAUCAGCAACAAAAACAUAAAGCUGUCAGAAAGAGUUCUGAUCCCUGUCAAACAAUAUCCUAAGUUCAAUUUUGUUGGGAAAUUGCUUGGACCAAGAGGGAACUCCUUGAAGAGGUUACAAGAAGAAACAGGAGCAAAAAUGUCCAUCCUCGGGAAAGGAUCCAUGCGGGAUAAAGCUAAGGAGGAAGAACUAAGGAAAAGUGGAGAAGCCAAAUACGCGCACUUGAGUGAUGAGCUUCACGUAUUAAUUGAAGUGUUUGCUCCACCUGGAGAGGCGUAUUCUCGUAUGAGUCAUGCCUUGGAAGAAAUAAAAAAAUUCCUCGUUCCUGACUAUAAUGAUGAAAUUCGCCAGGAACAGCUGAGAGAACUGUCAUAUUUGAAUGGUUCUGAGGAUUCAGCACGUGGACGGGGCAUUCGAGGAAGAGGUAUUCGUGUGCCACCUGCAGCUCCUUCAAGGGGACGUGGGGGUGCGAUUCCUCCUCCCCCGCCUGGAAGAGGUGCCCAAGCACCCCGAGGAGCACCAGUGACCCGUGGAGCCCUCCCAGUCCCACCAGUGGCGAGAGGUGUCCCCACCCCUCGAGCAAGGGGCGCCCCAGCUGUCCCGGGCUACAGACCACCCCCGCCACCUGCACACGAGGCCUAUGAAGAAUAUGGAUAUGAUGAUGGAUAUGGAGGUGAAUAUGACGAACCAAACUAUGAGGCAUAUGAUAACAGUUAUGCCACCCAAACACAAAGUGUGCCUGAAUAUUAUGACUACGGUCACGGAACAAGUGAAGAGGCUUACGACAGCUACGCACAAGAAGAAUGGGCUACAACCCGUUCCAGCCUAAAGGCACCACCUCCAAGGUCAGCCAGAGGGGGUUACAGGGAACACCCCUAUGGUAGAUAUUGAAGGUCCUCCUCAUCUGUGACCUCAUCUCAAAGACAAUUAUUAGCCUGUGGUCUCCACAUAAACAGCAACAAGACAAGGACUCACCUGCACUGGACAGCUAAGCAGCAGAUCUGCUGAGAAGUGGUCAGCUUUUUGGAGCCUUAGGGAAGCACUGUAGCUUUUGAACGCUGUUCAGGGAAUUGAGAGUCUUCGACAUCGUUUGCAAUAAAUCAGUGGGAUCUGAAAGACUGUGCCUCAGGUUGGGACUCACAGCCCCAAGUUCUGGACCUGCCACUACCACCCUCUUUAGGAAAUGCCAGCACUGAGACUUAUGGUGAUCUUCCAGUCUAUCAGGUGAGCUAGUUUAAUCAAGAAAAAAAAAAAAAAGUGUCUAAUGAACAGCAAUUUGAAGCACAGCAUUUGGAAAGGUCAGAAUGGUACAUUACAUCCUUAUUAUCCAAAAGAACAGAUGACUUUAAUAUCCUGGCAGCAUUUUCCUGUGAAGAAGAUAUUAAACAAGAACUGAAAAUGGCACAAGGUUGCCUCUUACUUUCUUCUGACAAAGACUGCAACAAGAUGAUUAAACGGUACAGAAUAAAUCUCUUUCUAAUGUUCAGUUGUAGAUCCUGCCUACAUUUCAAAAACCUAAGCUAACCGGAGUGCCAAAACACAUGCUAUUUGUUUCAGGUCCCUUAGAACUCAUUUUACUGCUUAUAUGACCCAGUUUCCAUUAAUAUUUUCUGGUCUUAAAGAUGGAAAGGCAUAUUAAUUAAAGGUACACAAUGCAACGAGUUUUGUCAAAUGCUUGUGUUGAAUUACAACAAAAUAAGCACUACAACAGCACUGCUUAAAAUAUAGGGGUUUCAGCUUCUGUUUGAAAAGACCUAACAACAGAGAUAAUGUAUUCCAACAUGCAAUGCACUGCAUGUGUCCUGUUUUGGAGAGUCCUUGAAGGUAUGGAACUGUUUGGAAGCAAAGGAACUUUUAGUGUAUAUCUUGUUAACAAUUUCAUUAAUGUAAGGAGCUGUCACAUUCCUUAAACCAUUAUCUGUAUGAAGACUCUUACUUUAUAGGUCUAAGGAGAGCAAAAAAUCUUCUGGAGCUUGAUGUUGUAUUUUAAUGUUAAAACACACUAUCAGGGUUCUCAUGUUAAAUCUUCUUAUGACAAAUGAACAAAUGCUAUGCUUAAAAAUCAAAAAAUUAGUAUAUAGCCUACACCUGUAUUAGUUAGUAGUCAUCAUUCCACAUGAGAUAUGAGGUCUGCCAUUACAUAAGAAUGUAACAAGUUCAAUAUUAAAGAUAUUCAUAAUUAUUAAAGAAAACACUUUACAUUAUUCCAGAAGAUCAGAAGAUAUCUGUUUUGAAGUAUUGCUGGCUGAAGUAGACCUACGUGGAUUUGCACAAGCUCACAAGUAGAAAUCAUAUGGAACCUUUUUUUUCCACACCACCCAGGGAAUACAUUUGAAAAGAAAUUUCUCCAUGGUACAUUACAUGCAGCAUCUUGCUGAGAAAAAUCAUUCUGCUUCAGUCAAGAGAGAUAAAAUGAACAUUUCCAAUAUAUGUUUUCAGUGCCUCGAAUAUAUAUGUGUGUGUGUCUGUGUGUAUAUGUGCAUGCACUGUUGUCUUUUUCUGCACCUUAGGUGAUUUUAUUUUCCACUGGAGAUUUUAAAUGUAUUUUUCAUCCUUUAUUUUGCAGAUAUAAAGUAGGAUAGUUUUUACAGUGCACUGGCAAUAUGCGACCUAUUUUGAAACUCAGAAGGUUAUGCAAAACUGUAGUCAGAAAUCCCUAAUGGGUCUUCUUUUCAUAAAUACCUACAGAAAUUAAUGUUUUCCAUAUGCCUAGAAAAUAUCCACUAGAUACAAGUUUCAAUCAAGUUCCUUGUAAUUCAGCUAAUAGUCCCUGACACUGUAGUGACUACAGCCGAGUAUGCAGCCUACAGGAAAUAAUUAGCAAAACUCUGUUUUUUCAGUUCCUGAUUAUUAUCCACAAUAGAACUGAGUAUUAUAAUUUGAGUCACUAAGAGCUCUGACCAUUUAUACUUUUGCUAUGAAAACAUAAAAUAUAUGCUGCUGUA
Molecule: RNA transcript, 3255 nt
Organism: Pezoporus flaviventris
Lineage: Eukaryota; Metazoa; Chordata; Aves; Psittaciformes; Psittacidae
Gene: KHDRBS2
Gene name: KH RNA binding domain containing, signal transduction associated 2
Exons: 12
Source: RefSeq, a predicted model, not a curated record